Molecule: long non-coding RNA, 802 nt
Filed under: Manihot esculenta (cassava)
Lineage: Eukaryota; Viridiplantae; Streptophyta; Magnoliopsida; Malpighiales; Euphorbiaceae
Description: long non-coding RNA (MESC_LNC008326)
Source: RNAcentral
AGAAAAUUUUAUUAUAUUUCAUUUCAAGCAUAUUCGAACACGGUACUGUUUAAUUACAAUCUCAAGUCUCUGAGUGCUUCAUCAAACAAUACCUUAUAUCAGCAACAGCAUUCCCUAUUAACUAGUCAUUAUUUAUUUUAAUUAUCAAACAAACACUUCUAAUAAUAAGUGGUAAAGAUACAAAUCCUAAAAGCUCAAGAGAAAAUAGAUAUUGACGCAAAAAGAAAAAACGGAGGAAGACCACAAUUGGAAACGAAACGAAGAAGGGAAACAUGCAUGAUGAUAAUGAUGACGAUGAUGACAAUUUUACAGCUAUGGAAGUAAAAAAAAUAUAUAAAUAAAUGUAGUAGUCGGACCAGGAACUCUUGAUUCCCCUUGCAUGGAUGCCUCCAUGUCAUUAUCCAUGGCUUGUAAGGAGAAGUUGCUUAUAUUUGAAUGGCCACUCAAGGAAGAAAUGAAAUUCCUUCCAUGGUUGGAGCAAUGAAAUGAAGCUGAAAGCUAUUACCAUGGUCAUGGUGAGAGAAGAACUAAAAUCCAAGAAAUUAGUCUAAUUGAGAGAGAAAGAAAGAUGAAAGAGAAGUAUAUAGUAGAAGAGGUAGGGAGAAAAGCUUUUAUCUUGAGAGACCCCAAGCACUCACUGAUCUUAAAUUCCCGCAUGCACGUUUCUCUUUUAAUAUAUACAGUGUCGGCACGUUUCCACAGGGGAAAAAGGAAGGCAAAGAAAGAGACAGACAGUGAAAUGAAGUGUUUCUUUUUUUUCUUUCGUAAGACAAAUUAAAGAGCAUGGUGCCCUAAAGCUAGC